This 498-nucleotide ribosomal RNA is filed under the name uncultured bacterium. Its description in RNAcentral is "partial 16S ribosomal RNA". It matches the Rfam family "Bacterial small subunit ribosomal RNA", at positions 30 to 523 of the family's 1533-position model. The record is from RNAcentral.
AUUGAACGCUGGCGGCAUGCCUUACACAUGCAAGUUGAACGGUAACAGGUCUUCGGAUGCUGACGAGUGGCGAACGGGUGAGUAAUACAUCGGAACGUGCCUAGUAGUGGGGGAUAACCACUCGAAAGAGUGGCUAAUACCGCAUGAGAUCUACGGAUGAAAGCAGGGGAUCGCAAGACCUUGUGCUACUAGAGCGGCCGAUGGCAGAUUAGGUAGUUGGUGGGAUAAAAGCUUACCAAGCCGACGAUCUGUAGCUGGUCUGAGAGGACGAUCAGCCACACUGGGACUGAGACACGGCCCAGACUCCUACGGGAGGCAGCAGUGGGGAAUUUUGGACAAUGGGCGCAAGCCUGAUCCAGCAAUGCCGCGUGCAGGAUGAAGGCCUUCGGGUUGUAAACUGCUUUUGUACGGAACGAAAAGCCCCGGGUUAAUACCCUGGGGUCAUGACGGUACCGUAAGAAUAAGCACCGGCUAACUACGUGCCAGCCGCCGCUGUAA